GACGAACGCUGGCGGCGUGCCUAAUACAUGCAAGUAGAACGCUGAAGGAGGAGCUUGCUCUUCUGGAUGAGUUGCGAACGGGUGAGUAACGCGUAGGUAACCUGCCUGGUAGCGGGGGAUAACUAUUGGAAACGAUAGCUAAUACCGCAUAACAGUAGAUGUUGCAUGACAUUUGCUUAAAAGGUACAAUUGCACCACUACCAGAUGGACCUGCGUUGUAUUAGCUAGUUGGUGGGGUAACGGCUCACCAAGGCGAUGAUACAUAGCCGACCUGAGAGGGUGAUCGGCCACACUGGGACUGAGACACGGCCCAGACUCCUACGGGAGGCAGCAGUAGGGAAUCUUCGGCAAUAGACGGAAGUCUGACCGAGCAACGCCGCGUGAGUGAAGAAGGUUUUCGGAUCGUAAAGCUCUGUUGUAAGAGAAGAACGAGUGUGAGAGUGGAAAGUUCACACUGUGACGGUAUCUUACCAGAAAGGGACGGCUAACUACGUG
RNAcentral lists this ribosomal RNA (495 nucleotides) under uncultured bacterium. Its description in RNAcentral is "partial 16S ribosomal RNA". It matches the Rfam family "Bacterial small subunit ribosomal RNA", at positions 28 to 507 of the family's 1533-position model. The record is from RNAcentral.